This 397-nucleotide ribosomal RNA is filed under the name uncultured bacterium. RNAcentral describes it as "partial 16S ribosomal RNA". It matches the Rfam family "Bacterial small subunit ribosomal RNA", at positions 523 to 918 of the family's 1533-position model. The record is from RNAcentral.
AUACGUAGGGAGCGAGCGUUGUCCGGAAUUACUGGGCGUAAAGAGCGCGUAGGUGGAUAUUUAAGUCAGAUGUGAAAACUUGGGGCUCAACCGCAAGCCUGCAUUUGAAACUGGAUAUCUUGAGGGCAGGAGAGGAAAGUGGAAUUCCUAGUGUAGCGGUGAAAUGCGUAGAUAUUAGGAGGAACACCAGUGGCGAAGGCGACUUUCUGGACUGUACCUGACACUGAGGCGCGAAAGCGUGGGGAGCGAACGGGAUUAGAUACCCCGGUAGUCCACGCCGUAAACGAUGAAUACUAGGUGUAGGAGGUAUCGACCCCUUCUGUGCCGCAGCUAACGCAAUAAGUAUUCCGCCUGGGGAGUACGGCCGCAAGGUUGAAACUCAAAGGAAUUGACGGGG